GCCGCAAGGCUAAAACUCAAAGGAAUUGACGGGGGCCCGCACAAGCGGCGGAGCAUGCGGAUUAAUUCGAUGCAACGCGAAGAACCUUACCAAGGCUUGACAUAUACCUGCAAAGGCUGGAAACAGUCUCCUCGCAAGACAGGUAUACAGGUGGUGCAUGGUUGUCGUCAGCUCGUGUCGUGAGAUGUUGGGUUAAGUCCCGCAACGAGCGCAACCCUCGUUCUAUGUUGCCAGCGCGUGAUGGCGGGAACUCAUAGGAGACUGCCGGGGUCAACUCGGAGGAAGGUGGGGAUGACGUCAAAUCAUCAUGCCCCUUAUGUCUUGGGCUUCACGCAUGCUACAAUGGCCGGUACAAAGGGCUGCAAUACCGUAAGGUGGAGCGAAUCCCAAAAAGCCGGUCUCAGUUCGGAUUGAGGUCUGCAACUCGACCUCAUGAAGUCGGAGUCGCUAGUAGUCGCAGAUCAGCAACGCUGCGGUGAAUACGUUCCCGGGCCUUGUACACACCGCCCGUCAAGUCAUGAAAGUCGGUAACACCCGAAGCCGGUGGCCCAACCCUUGUGGAGGGAGCCGUCGAAGGU
This 578-nucleotide ribosomal RNA is filed under the name uncultured bacterium. RNAcentral describes it as "bacterial SSU rRNA". It matches the Rfam family "Bacterial small subunit ribosomal RNA", at positions 885 to 1463 of the family's 1533-position model. The record is from RNAcentral.